This 164-nucleotide ribosomal RNA is filed under the name Morinda citrifolia (Indian mulberry). RNAcentral describes it as "5.8S ribosomal RNA". The stretch from base 1 to 121 matches the Rfam family "5.8S ribosomal RNA", at positions 36 to 154 of the family's 154-position model. Rfam says of the family: 5.8S ribosomal RNA (5.8S rRNA) is a component of the large subunit of the eukaryotic ribosome. It is transcribed by RNA polymerase I as part of the 45S precursor that also contains 18S and 28S rRNA. The record is from RNAcentral. Lineage: Eukaryota; Viridiplantae; Streptophyta; Magnoliopsida; Gentianales; Rubiaceae.
AUGAAAAACGUAGCGAAAUGCGAUACUUGGUGUGAAUUGCAGAAUCCCGUGAACCAUCGAGUUUUUGAACGCAAGUUGCGCCCUAAGCCAUUAGGCUGAGGGCACGUCUGCCUGGGCGUCACGCAUCGCGUCGCCACCCCCCUCCUCGCCCCGCGCGGGAACGA